This 60-nucleotide transfer RNA is filed under the name Schistosoma haematobium. It matches the Rfam family "tRNA", at positions 7 to 64 of the family's 71-position model. From Rfam's summary of the family: Transfer RNA (tRNA) molecules are approximately 80 nucleotides in length. Their secondary structure includes four short double-helical elements and three loops (D, anti-codon, and T loops). Lineage: Eukaryota; Metazoa; Platyhelminthes; Trematoda; Strigeidida; Schistosomatidae. The record is from Rfam by way of RNAcentral.
UUAGUUAAGUAGAUAAAGCGAUAGCAUUUGAGGCUAACGGUACUGGGUUCAAAUCCCAGA